GUCUACGGCCAUGCCACCCUGAACAAGCCUGAUGUCUGACCUUGGAAGCUGAGCAGGGUCGAGCCUGGUUAGUACUUGGAUGGGAGACCACCUAGGAAAACCAGGUGCUGUAGGCA
RNAcentral lists this ribosomal RNA (116 nucleotides) under Pteropus alecto (black flying fox). Lineage: Eukaryota; Metazoa; Chordata; Mammalia; Chiroptera; Pteropodidae. The record is from RNAcentral.